GGAAAGGUGCCGGAGUGGUUGAACGGGCUCGCCUGGAAAGCGAGUGUACUGCGAAAGUGGUACCGAGGGUUCGAAUCCCUCCUUUUCCG
RNAcentral lists this transfer RNA (89 nucleotides) under Ignavibacteriaceae bacterium. RNAcentral describes it as "tRNA-Ser". It matches the Rfam family "tRNA". From Rfam's summary of the family: Transfer RNA (tRNA) molecules are approximately 80 nucleotides in length. Their secondary structure includes four short double-helical elements and three loops (D, anti-codon, and T loops). Lineage: Bacteria; Pseudomonadati; Ignavibacteriota; Ignavibacteria; Ignavibacteriales; Ignavibacteriaceae. The record is from RNAcentral.